Molecule: long non-coding RNA, 211 nt
Filed under: Mytilus galloprovincialis (Mediterranean mussel)
Lineage: Eukaryota; Metazoa; Mollusca; Bivalvia; Mytilida; Mytilidae
Source: RNAcentral
GGCGGUUAGCGAUCAAAACAGAUUAUACCAUAAUCUAAAUUUGCACAUCAGACAUGCGACUAUAUUUAUUUUCAAUCUAAUGUAUUGUUUUCAAAAGCGAAUAGAUGACAGUGUUGAGUUGGAAAAACAAUAAUAUAUUAUUUGAUUCUUUACGGUUUCUUUCGAAUUCAAAGUCUGAUUGGCACUUUAGUAUCUGCCGCCUCUAUUUAUU